UGGGGAAUAUUGCACAAUGGGCGCAAGCCUGAUGCAGCCAUGCCGCGUGUAUGAAGAAGGCCUUCGGGUUGUAAAGUACUUUCAGCGAGGAGGAAGGAGUUGUGGUUAAUAACCGCAACGAUUGACGUUACUCGCAGAAGAAGCACCGGCUAACUCCGUGCCAGCAGCCGCGGUAAUACGGAGGGUGCAAGCGUUAAUCGGAAUUACUGGGCGUAAAGCGCACGCAGGCGGUCUGUCAAGUCGGAUGUGAAAUCCCCGGGCUCAACCUGGGAACUGCAUCCGAAACUGGCAGGCUAGAGUCUUGUAGAGGGGGGUAGAAUUCCAGGUGUAGCGGUGAAAUGCGUAGAGAUCUGGAGGAAUACCGGUGGCGAAGGCGGCCCCCUGGACAAAGACUGACGCUCAGGUGCGAAAGCGUGGGGAGCAAACA
Molecule: ribosomal RNA, 427 nt
Filed under: uncultured bacterium
Lineage: Bacteria
Description: partial 16S ribosomal RNA
Rfam family: Bacterial small subunit ribosomal RNA
Source: RNAcentral